UACGUAGGGUGCAAGCGUUGUCCGGAAUUAUUGGGCGUAAAGAGCUCGUAGGCGGUUUGUUGCGUCGGCUGUGAAAUCCCGAGGCUCAACCUCGGGUCUGCAGUCGAUACGAGCAAACUAGAGUGUUGUAGGGGAGACUGGAAUUCCUGGUGUAGCGGUGAAAUGCGCAGAUAUCAGGAGGAACACCGAUGGCGAAGGCAGGUCUCUGGGCAUUAACUGACGCUGAGGAGCGAAAGCAUGGGGAGCGAACAGG
This 253-nucleotide ribosomal RNA is filed under the name uncultured bacterium. Its description in RNAcentral is "partial 16S ribosomal RNA". It matches the Rfam family "Bacterial small subunit ribosomal RNA", at positions 524 to 776 of the family's 1533-position model. The record is from RNAcentral.